This 450-nucleotide ribosomal RNA is filed under the name uncultured bacterium. Its description in RNAcentral is "partial 16S ribosomal RNA". It matches the Rfam family "Bacterial small subunit ribosomal RNA", at positions 338 to 795 of the family's 1533-position model. The record is from RNAcentral.
CCUACGGGUGGCUGCAGUGGGGAAUUUUGGACAAUGGGGGCAACCCUGAUCCAGCCAUGCCGCGUGAGUGAAGAAGGCCUUCGGGUUGUAAAGCUCUUUCGGCCGGGAAGAAAUCGCUCAAGCUAAUACCUUGGGUGGAUGACGGUACCGGAAGAAGAAGCACCGGCUAACUACGUGCCAGCAGCCGCGGUAAUACGUAGGGUGCGAGCGUUAAUCGGAGUUUGCGGAGGCGGCGCGUGCGCAGGCGGGUGAAAUCCCCGUGCUUAACCUGGGAACUGCGUUUGUGACUGUGGUGCUCGAGUGCGGCAGAGGGGGGUGGAAUUCCACGUGUAGCAGUGAAAUGCGUAGAGAUGUGGAGGAACACCGAUGGCGAAGGCAGCCCCCUGGGUCGACACUGACGCUCAUGCACGAAAGCGUGGGGAGCAAACAGGAUUAGAUACCCUUGUAGUC